AUUGAACGCUGGCGGCAUGCCUUACACAUGCAAGUCGAACGGCAGCACGGGAGCAAUCCUGGUGGCGAGUGGCGAACGGGUGAGUAAAGUAUCGGAACGUGCCCAGUCGUGGGGGAUAACGUAGCGAAAGUUACGCUAAUACCGCAUACGAUCUAUGGAUGAAAGCGGGGGAUCGCAAGACCUUGCGCGAUUGGAUCGGCCGAUAUCAGAUUAGGUAGUUGGUGGGGUAAAGGCUCACCAAGCCGACGAUCUGUAGCUGGUCUGAGAGGACGACCAGCCACACUGGGACUGAGACACGGCCCAGACUCCUACGGGAGGCAGCAGUGGGGAAUUUUGGACAAUGGGCGCAAGCCUGAUCCAGCCAUGCCGCGUGCAGGAUGAAGGCCUUCGGGUUGUAAACUGCUUUUGUACGGAACGAAAAGGUUUGACUUAAUACGUUGGACUCAUGACGGUACCGUAAGAAUAAGCACCGGCUAACUACGUGCCAGCCGCCGCGGUAA
Molecule: ribosomal RNA, 500 nt
Filed under: uncultured bacterium
Lineage: Bacteria
Description: partial 16S ribosomal RNA
Rfam family: Bacterial small subunit ribosomal RNA
Source: RNAcentral